AUAACACUAUUUUAUCGCAUGGUAGAAUAGUCAAAACUCCGGUGCUCAAGGAUGGACUCGCGUCCGAUUAGAUAGUUGGUGAGGUAACGGCUCACCAAGUCGACGAUCGGUAGCCGGACUGAGAGGUUGAACGGCCACAUUGGGACUGAGACACGGCCCAGACUCCUACGGGAGGCAGCAGUGGGGGAUAUUGCGCAAUGGGGGAAACCCUGACGCAGCAACGCCGCGUGGAUGAAGACGGUUUUCGGAUUGUAAAGUCCUUUUGUUGGGGACGAAUUCUGACGGUACCCAACGAAUAAGCUCCGGCUAACUACGUGCCAGCAGCCGCGGUAAUACGUAGGGAGCAAGCGUUAUCCGGAUUUACUGGGUGUAAAGGGUGCGUAGGCGGCCCUGCAAGUCAGAUGUGAAAUUUAGAGGCUCAACCUCUAAACUGCAUUUGAAACUGUGGGGCUUGAGUGAAGUAGAGGCAGGCGGAAUUCCCUGUGUAGCGGUGAAAUGCGUAGAGAUAGGGAGGAACACCAGUGGCGAAGGCGGCCUGCUGGGCUUUAACUGACGCUGAGGCACGAAAGCGUGGGUAGCA
Molecule: ribosomal RNA, 580 nt
Filed under: uncultured rumen bacterium
Lineage: Bacteria
Description: bacterial SSU rRNA
Rfam family: Bacterial small subunit ribosomal RNA
Source: RNAcentral